This 2296-nucleotide ribosomal RNA is filed under the name activated sludge metagenome. RNAcentral describes it as "bacterial LSU rRNA". It matches the Rfam family "Bacterial large subunit ribosomal RNA", at positions 40 to 2346 of the family's 2925-position model. The record is from RNAcentral.
CAAGCGCCGAAGAAGGACGUGGCAAGCUGCGAAAAGCUACGGGGAGCCGCAAGCGGGCAGAGAACCGUAGAUAUCCGAAUGGGGGAACCCGGCGGACGGAAGGUCCGUCACGCUGAGAUGAACACAUAGUCUCAGGCGAGGGAACCCGGGGAACUGAAACAUCUAAGUACCCGGAGGAAAAGAAAGAAAGAACGAUUCUCCAAGUAGCGGCGAGCGAACGGGGAAGAGCCCAAACCACCAGCUACGGCGUGGUGGGGUUGCGGGCCGGCGGGAAGCAACGUGGAGGUUUAGUCGAAUAGGGAAGGAAAGCCCAGCCAGAGGGGGUAACAGCCCCGUAGACGAAAAGCCGAAGCGGCGAGCCGGUACCAGAGUACCGCAGGACACGAGGAAUCCGGCGGGAAGCAGGGGGGACCACCCUCCAAGGCUAAAUACGACUUGGUGACCGAUAGCGCAUAGUACCGUGAGGGAAAGGUGAAAAGGACCCCGGGAGGGGAGUGAAAGAGAACCUGAAACCCUAUGUUUACAAGCAGAGGGAGCGCGGUUGAAGCGCGACCUUGUACUUUUUGUAGAACGGACCGGCGAGUUGCGACAGCCAGCGAGGUUAAGGUAUUGAGUACUGGAGCCGAAGCGAAAGCGAGUCUGAAGAGGGCGAAACAGUUGGCGAGCGCAGACCCGAAACCGGGUGAUCUAUCCAUGGCCAGGUUGAAGUGAGCGUAAAAGUUCAUGGAGGACCGAACCAGACGUCUGUUGAAAAAGGCGGGGAUGAGCUGUGGAUAGGGGAGAAAUUCCAAUCGAACCCGGAGAUAGCUGGUUCUCCUCGAAAUAGCUUUAGGGCUAGCCUCGUAUUAGAUUACCGGAGGUAGAGCACUGACUGGGCGCGGGGGUCACAAAGCCUACCAAACCUUAUCAAACUGCGAAUGCCGGAUAAUUGAUGUACGGGAGUCAGUCCGCGGGAGAUAAGUUCCGCGGGCGAAAGGGGAACACCCCAGAUCGUCCGCUAAGGUCCCGAAGUACGUGUUAAGUGGGAAAGGAUGUGUAAUUGCACAGACAACCAGGAUGUUGGCUUAGAAGCAGCCAUACAUUGAAAGAGUGCGUAAUAGCUCACUGGUCGAGUGGUUGUGCGCCGAAGAUGUCCGGGGCUAAAACACGUCACCGAAGCGGCGGAUUCGCGAUUGCGAAGAGCGGAAGCGAGUGGUAGAGGAGCAUUGUGUACAGGCAGAAGCAUGACCGUGAGGACAUGUGGACAGUACAGAAGCGAGAAUGCCGGUAUGAGUAGCGAGAGGCAUGUGAGAACCAUGCCGGUCGAAAGCCCAAGGUUUCCUGGGGAAGGUUCAUCCGCCCAGGGUAAGUCGGGACCUAAGCCGAGGACGGGAGUCGUAGGCGAUGGACAGCAGGUGGAGAUUCCUGCACUACCCGCAGAAUGAAGCAGUGACACAGAAGGAUAGCUCGUGCGCGGUGAUGGUCAACCGCGUGAAAGCAUCGAGUGUGGUCUGUAGUGAAGAACGCAGGCCGUGAAGCAUGAGUUGUGAGAGGACCGAAGUCAAGUAGGGAAGCGAGUGAUUUCACGCUGGCGAGAAAAGCUGCUAGUAUAUCUGCGCGGUACCCGUACCGCAAACCGACACAGGUGGGCAAGGAGAGGAUCCUGAGACGGACGGGAGAACCCUUGUUAAGGAACUCGGCAAAAUGACCCCGUAACUUCGGGAGAAGGGGUGCCUGCGCGAGCAGGCCGCAGAGAAGAGGCCCAAGCGACUGUUUAUCAAAAACACAGGUAUCUGCGAAAGCGAGAGCUGACGUAUAGGUGCUGACACCUGCCCGGUGCUGGAAGGUUAAGGGGACCUGUCAUCGCGAGAGAAGCAGCGAACCGAAGCCCCAGUAAACGGCGGCCGUAACUAUAACGGUCCUAAGGUAGCGAAAUUCCUUGUCGGGUAAGUUCCGACCCGCACGAAUGGUGUAACGAUUUGGGCGCUGUCUCAACAAGGGGCCCGGUGAAAUUGAAGUAUGGGUGAAGAUGCCCAUUACCCGCGACUGGACGGAAAGACCCCGUAGAGCUUUACUGUAACCUGAUAUUGGAUUUCGGUAACGGAUGCACAGGAUAGGUGGGAGACUGGGAAGUGUGCGCUUCGGCGUGCAUGGAGUCGCUGUUGGGAUACCACUCUUCUGUUGCUGAAAUUCUAACAUAGCACCGUAAGCCGGUGGAUGGACAGUGUCAGGCGGACAGUUUGACUGGGGCGGUCGCCUCCUAAAGAGUAACGGAGGCGCCCAAAGGUACCCUCAGAAUGGAUGGAAACCAUUCGCA